RNAcentral lists this ribosomal RNA (955 nucleotides) under uncultured beta proteobacterium. Its description in RNAcentral is "bacterial SSU rRNA". It matches the Rfam family "Bacterial small subunit ribosomal RNA", at positions 8 to 967 of the family's 1533-position model. Lineage: Bacteria; Pseudomonadati; Pseudomonadota; Betaproteobacteria. The record is from RNAcentral.
AGAGUUUGAUCCUGGCUCAGAUUGAACGCUGAUGCUUUACACUGCAAGUCGAACGGUAACAGGCCUUCGGGCGCUGACGAGUGGCGAACGGGUGAGUAAUGCAUCGGAACGUGCCGUGUAGUGGGGGAUAACGUAGCGAAAGUUACGCUAAUACCGCAUACGCCCCGAGGGGGAAAGUGGGGGACCGCAAGGCCUCACGCUAUACGAGCGGCCGAUGUCGGAUUAGCUAGUUGGUAGGGUAAAGGCCUACCAAGGCGACGAUCCGUAGCGGGUCUGAGAGGAUGAUCCGCCACACUGGGACUGACACGGCCCAGACUCCUACGGGAGGCAGCAGUGGGGAAUUUUGGACAAUGGGCGCAAGCCUGAUCCAGCCAUGCCGCGUGAGUGAAGAAGGCCUUCGGGUUGUAAAGCUCUUUCAGACGGAAAGAAAUCGGUGUGUCUAAUACACGCACUGGAUGACGGUACCGUAAGAAGAAGCACCGGCUAACUACGUGCCAGCAGCCGCGGUAAUACGUAGGGUGCGAGCGUUAAUCGGAAUUACUGGGCGUAAAGCGUGCGCAGGCGGUUAUGUAAGACAGAUGUGAAAUCCCCGGGCUCAACCUGGGAACUGCGUUUGUGACUGCAUAACUAGAGUACGGCAGAGGGAGGUGGAAUUCCACGUGUAGCAGUGAAAUGCGUAGAGAUGUGGAGGAACACCGAUGGCGAAGGCAGCCUCCUGGGCCAGUACUGACGCUCAUGCACGAAAGCGUGGGGAGCAAACAGGAUUAGAUACCCUGGUAGUCCACGCCCUAAACGAUGUCAACUAGUUGUUCGGUGAGGAGACUCAUUGAGUAACGCAGCUAACGCGUGAAGUUGACCGCCUGGGGAGUACGGCCGCAAGGUUAAAACUCAAAGGAAUUGACGGGGACCCGCACAAGCGGUGGAUGAUGUGGAUUAAUUCGAUGCAACGCGAAAA